ACAUGCCACAUAGCAACAUGCAGCCUCGAGAGAGGCUUGCUGUUUUUGGUGUUCGAGUGACCGACGGGAUGAGUAAAGUUAUCGGGUACGCGCCCUGUAGCGGUGCAAUAGCUAUCUCGAGAGAGAUGGUUAAUACAGCAUACGCCCUACGGGGGAAAGGGGCAUAUCUCAAGACCUCACACUAUUGGAGCAGCCAUGAUCGGAUGAGUUAUUAGGUGGGGUAAAGGCUAACCACGUCGCAGAUCUGUAGUGGUUAGGAGAGGUGAGCCAGCCAUACUGGGCAUGAGUCACGACCCAGAGUCCUGAGUGAUACAGCAGUGGGCAAUUUUGAACAUUGGUGGAAACCGUGAUCUAUCAAUCCCGCGUGUGUGAUGAAGGCUUUCGGUUUUUAAAGCACUUUUGUCAGGGAAGAAGUGACGAAAUGUAAUAACGUGUAUUUAUGACGGUACCCGUUGAGUAUGCACAUGGUAUAUACGUGCCACCACCCGCGCUAUUAUGUAGGGUGCAAGCGUUUUUUCGAAUUUUUGGGGGUAAAGGGUGCUCGGGGGGUUAUGGAAAAAAAGAUGUGAAAUACCCAGGGCUCAACCUUGGAACAGCAUUUUUAAUUACCGAGCUAGAGUAUGUCAGAGGGGGGUAGAAUUCCACGUGUAGCAGUGAAAAGCGUAGAGAUGUGGAGGAAAACCGAGGGCGAGGGCACCCCCUUGGGAUAAUAUAGACGCUCAGGUACGAAAGCGUGGGGAGCAAACACGAUUAGAUACCCCGGUAUCUCACGCCCUAAACGAGGUCAAAUAGCGGUUGGGGCCUUUAGGCCUUAGUAGCGCAGCUAACGCGUGAUAUUGACCGUGCUGGGGAGUAUUGUCGCAAUAUUAAAACUCAAGAGAUUUGAGGGGGACCCGCACACGCGGUGGAUGAUGUGUAUUAUUUCUAUGCCACGCGGAAAACCUUACCUACUCUUGAGUUGUCUGGAAUUCUGAAAAAAUUUCUUAGUGUCCGCAAGGGAACCGGAACACAGGUGCUGCUUGGCUGUCUUCAGCUCGUGUCGUGAGAUGUUGGGUUAAGUCCCGCACCGACCCCAACCCUUGUCUUUAUUUGCUACGAAAGGGCACUCUAAUGAGACUGCCGGUGACAAACCGGAGGAAGGUGGGGAUGACGUCAAGUCCUCAUGGCCCUUAUGCGUAGGGCUUCACACGUCAUAAAUGGUCGGGACAGAGGGUCGCCAACCCGCGAGGGGGAGCUAAUCUCAUAAACCCGAUCGUAGUCCGGAUCGCAGUCUGCAACUCGACUGCGUGAAGUCGGAAUCGCUAGUAAUCGCGGAUCAGAAUGUCGCGGUGAAUACGUUCCCGGGUCUUGUACACACCGCCCGUCACACCAUGGAAGUGGGUUUCACCAGAAGUACGUAGUCUAACCGUAAGGAGGACGCUUACCACGGUGGGA
This 1434-nucleotide ribosomal RNA is filed under the name uncultured Alcaligenes sp. RNAcentral's name for it is "partial 16S ribosomal RNA". It matches the Rfam family "Bacterial small subunit ribosomal RNA". The record is from RNAcentral. Lineage: Bacteria; Pseudomonadati; Pseudomonadota; Betaproteobacteria; Burkholderiales; Alcaligenaceae.